GACGAACGCUGGCGGCGUGCUUAACACAUGCAAGUCGAACACCGGCGCACGGGUGAGUAAUAAGUAACCAACCUGCACUGUACUCGGGGAUAGCCUUUCGAAAGAAAGAUUAAUAACAGAUAUAAAGGUUGGGUCUGCGUUCCAUUAGGUUGUUGGUGCGGCACAGGCCCACCAAGCCUUCGCUGGAUAGGGGUUCUGAGAGGAAGGUCCACCACAUUGGAACUGUGACACGGUCCAAACUCCUACGGGGGGCAGGAGUGAGGAAUAGUGGGCAAGGGGCGCUAGCCUGAACCAGCCAAGUAGCGUGAAGGAUGAAGGCUUAUGGGUCGUAAACUUUUUUUAUAUAAGAAUAUGUAUUAUAUGAAUAAGGAACGGCUAACUCCGUGCCAGCCGCCGCGGUAAUAC
Molecule: ribosomal RNA, 405 nt
Filed under: uncultured bacterium
Lineage: Bacteria
Description: partial 16S ribosomal RNA
Rfam family: Bacterial small subunit ribosomal RNA
Source: RNAcentral